GACGUAGGGGGCGAGCGUUGUCCGGAAUUAUUGGGCGUAAAGAGCUCGUAGGCGGUUUGUCGCGUCUGCUGUGAAAACCCGAGGCUCAACCUCGGGCCUGCAGUGGGUACGGGCAGACUAGAGUGCGGUAGGGGAGAUUGGAAUUCCUGGUGUAGCGGUGGAAUGCGCAGAUAUCAGGAGGAACACCAACGGCGAAAGCACUCUGCUGGGCCGACACUGACACUGAGAGACGAAAGCUAGGGGAGCGAAUGGG
This 253-nucleotide ribosomal RNA is filed under the name uncultured bacterium. RNAcentral describes it as "partial 16S ribosomal RNA". It matches the Rfam family "Bacterial small subunit ribosomal RNA", at positions 524 to 776 of the family's 1533-position model. The record is from RNAcentral.